UUAAAAUCCAGAUCAAUGGGAGUUAGACCCCUAAAUAUCUUUGAGGAUCUGGACUGAAUUCCCUUUCCUCUGCACAUCACUCCUGGCUAGCUUAGGGGACUGCUUGCUGGCUUCUGAGGAUCCCUUAUUAGGGUCAUCUAUGAAGGUUUUUAAGGAUCAGAGAUAAGCCUAAAGAGGUCACAGGAAUGAGGAAGCAGAGGCCUCUGUCCUAGGGCUUUCAGAGUGCCCAUGAAGCAGCUUUUCCUGAGAGAUGACUCCUGCCCCUUCAUCUCCUGUAUAACCCCCAUAGAACA
This is a long non-coding RNA of Mauremys mutica (yellowpond turtle), 293 nucleotides long. RefSeq lists it as uncharacterized. NCBI's taxonomy places the organism in Eukaryota, Metazoa, Chordata, Testudines, Geoemydidae. The record is from RefSeq and is a predicted model, not a curated record. The transcript has 3 exons.